This 1594-nucleotide unclassified non-coding RNA is filed under the name Hevea brasiliensis (rubber tree). Lineage: Eukaryota; Viridiplantae; Streptophyta; Magnoliopsida; Malpighiales; Euphorbiaceae. The record is from RNAcentral.
AGUUUGCAAGUUAUACGUUAUAAAUGAUUCCCAUAAGUAUAAUUUAAGUGCACUGCAUGUAGUAAUAUUCUUAAUAUUCUCAGCAGCUACUUAUGUGUUGCUUGGUGUGACAUUAUAGGUAGAAUCUGGUAUUUUAAAUGAGGAAAGUGGGGAUGCAGGAGAAGAUUUGGAUGGAGAGAAUGAAGGAGGAGAAGGAAAUGCCCAAGAACAGCAGCUUUAUCCUUGGGAGGGGAGUGAUCGUGAUUAUGAAUAUGAGGAGGUAUAGCAUGCAUUUGCAUGCAAUUAAACUUAUACUUACAGUCAGUAUAAAAAAGAAAUGUUUUAGAGUGCUCUAAUAUUCUAUUUCCUGUUGAAGGUAUCUUGUUUAUCAAUCAAUUGAUACUACUGUUUGAUGUAAUGGUUUCUUGGUGUUGAGACUAUUUUUAAGCCUUCAUAUGAGAAUAAUAAUCUAUACUUCUUUGUGCGGUGGCAGCUCUUGAAAAUUUUCUUAAUGGGGGCAAUAUAUAUUAUACAGUACACACAGUAGAGACACUAUGCACAUAUACUGUACAAACAAAAAUAAAUAGAAAAUUAUGGUAGUUUUUUUUUCCUAAAUGAAUGCUAUUACAAUUCUUCUUGAUGUUUCAUUGUUUAAAACGUUUUAUGAUUUCUCACUUUUAAUACUAUCCGAUGUAUUUCUUUCUAUAUGUAACCUAAUAAUGUAACAAUCACUCAAUGGCUAAUUUCUUAUGUGACAGUAUUCAUAUUGAGAAAGUCUUUUUCAUUUGCAUGAAUGAAAGGAAGGAAAGAGAGAUUUUGAAAUUAUAAUGAUUUUGAAAUUAUAAUAGUUUUUGCAACAAGUGUGAAAAAAGAGGUAUAUGCAAUAGAAUAAAUGGGCAUAAUCUAGUGGUUAAUUCUAUCUUCUUUUGUGUUUUUAGCCCAAAUGAAAUAAAAAUUUUGACUUAAAUUUUAGCCCAAAUUAAUUUUUCACUUAAAUAGAUUGGCAACUUAAAAAAAUUAAAGUGACUGUAGUAGCAAUGUACAAUGUUAAGUGGGGGAAACUUGACAAAUUCACUUGGGUAAGAUUGAAAAUAACCUAACCACACAAAGGAUUGGUAAAUCUGCCCAUGUCUCUGUGCUUUUGCUUGUGCACAUACUUUGGAUAUCCUAAAUACAUGGAGACUUGGAAGAUCUGCCCUUCUUCGUGUGCUCUUGCUAGAGCACAUAUUUUGGAUGAAUGAUCUAGAUCUUCAUGGCUAUUUGGCACUUGCAAACUUUCGGAAGCUUAAAUUUAUGAUUUCACUUGCUAGCCAUUUGCCUUCGUUUGUGAGGUAGUUGGUGAGCAGCUAAAAAUUCUCUUGAUUAAUGUAAUGUUUUCCAUGUAUUUUCAAUCUGCAUAAUGAAUUAUUUGUUUCUUUAUUCUUGGAAUAUGUUUUUCAACUGCACGGCUAUGCCCUUAGAUGGUUGUUAUUGUAACUCUCACCUGUCAUUUUGUAUUUGUGAUGUCCACUUACUGAUAGGCUGAAAUGCCACUAGUUCUUGUUUGUUUCUAUGCAUAUUUAUUUUUGUGGAGUGACAGAUUUUUCUUUCCUGAUAUGAUGUCGGCAGCUCCUUG